This 492-nucleotide ribosomal RNA is filed under the name uncultured bacterium. Its description in RNAcentral is "partial 16S ribosomal RNA". It matches the Rfam family "Bacterial small subunit ribosomal RNA", at positions 28 to 507 of the family's 1533-position model. The record is from RNAcentral.
GAUGAACGCUAGCUACAGGCUUAACACAUGCAAGUCGAGGGGAAACGGCAUCGAAAGCUUGCUUUUGAUGGGCGUCGACCGGCGCACGGGUGAGUAACGCGUAUCCAACCUGCCCAUCACUUGGGAAUAACCUUGCGAAAGUAAGACUAAUGCCCAAUGACAUCCCACGAAGGCAUCCGAAUGGGAUUAAAGAUUUAUCGGUGAUGGAUGGGGAUGCGUCUGAUUAGCUUGUUGGCGGGGUGACGGCCCACCAAGGCAACGAUCAGUAGGGGUUCUGAGAGGAAGGUCCCCCACAGUGGAACUGAGACAAGGUCCAAACUCCUACGGGAGGCAGCAGUGAGGAAUAUUGGUCAAUGGGCGAGAGCCUGAACCAGCCAAGUAGCGUGCAGGAUGACGGCCCUAUGGGUUGUAAACUGCUUUUAUAAGGGAAUAAAGUGGGUCACGUGUGACUUUUUGCAUGUACCUUAUGAAUAAGGACCGGCUAAUUCCGUG